RNAcentral lists this ribosomal RNA (920 nucleotides) under uncultured bacterium. RNAcentral's name for it is "bacterial SSU rRNA". It matches the Rfam family "Bacterial small subunit ribosomal RNA", at positions 33 to 912 of the family's 1533-position model. The record is from RNAcentral.
ACGCUGGCGGCGUGCCUAAUACAUGCAAGUCGAGCGAGCUUGCCUAGAUGAAUUUGGUGCUUGCACCAAAUGAAACUAGAUACAAGCGAGCGGCGGACGGGUGAGUAACACGUGGGUAACCUGCCCAAGAGACUGGGAUAACACCUGGAAACAGAUGCUAAUACCGGAUAACAACACUAGACGCAUGUCUAGAGUUUAAAAGAUGGUUCUGCUAUCACUCUUGGAUGGACCUGCGGUGCACUAGCUAGUUGGUAAGGUAACGGCUUACCAAGGCAAUGAUGCAUAGCCGAGUUGAGAGACUGAUCGGCCACAUUGGGACUGAGACACGGCCCAAACUCCUACGGGAGGCAGCAGUAGGGAAUCUUCCACAAUGGACGCAAGUCUGAUGGAGCAACGCCGCGUGAGUGAAGAAGGGUUUCGGCUCGUAAAGCUCUGUUGGUAGUGAAGAAAGAUAGAGGUAGUAACUGGCCUUUAUUUGACGGUAAUUACUUAGAAAGUCACGGCUAACUACGUGCCAGCAGCCGCGGUAAUACGUAGGUGGCAAGCGUUGUCCGGAUUUAUUGGGCGUAAAGCGAGUGCAGGCGGUUCAAUAAGUCUGAUGUGAAAGCCUUCGGCUCAACCGGAGAAUUGCAUCAGAAACUGUUGAACUUGAGUGCAGAAGAGGAGAGUGGAACUCCAUGUGUAGCGGUGGAAUGCGUAGAUAUAUGGAAGAACACCAGUGGCGAAGGCGGCUCUCUGGUCUGCAACUGACGCUGAGGCUCGAAAGCAUGGGUAGCGAACAGGAUUAGAUACCCUGGUAGUCCAUGCCGUAAACGAUGAGUGCUAAGUGUUGGGAGGUUUCCGCCUCUCAGUGCUGCAGCUAACGCAUUAAGCACUCCGCCUGGGGAGUACGACCGCAAGGUUGAAACUCAAAGGAAUUU